UCCCUGGAGGGCUAGUGGUUAGGCCACGGCGCUCUCACCACCGUGGCCGGCGUUCGAUUCCCGGCCAGGGAG
This 72-nucleotide transfer RNA is filed under the name Pangasianodon hypophthalmus (striped catfish). It matches the Rfam family "tRNA". From Rfam's summary of the family: Transfer RNA (tRNA) molecules are approximately 80 nucleotides in length. Their secondary structure includes four short double-helical elements and three loops (D, anti-codon, and T loops). Lineage: Eukaryota; Metazoa; Chordata; Actinopteri; Siluriformes; Pangasiidae. The record is from Rfam by way of RNAcentral.